RNAcentral lists this ribosomal RNA (582 nucleotides) under Triticum aestivum (bread wheat). RNAcentral describes it as "partial small subunit ribosomal RNA". The record is from RNAcentral. Lineage: Eukaryota; Viridiplantae; Streptophyta; Magnoliopsida; Poales; Poaceae.
AUGCACGCGGCCGCGUCCCCGAGCGAUGGCCAAGUGGCGCCGUGCUCCCAACGCCCAGGUGUUCUUCUCGGACGGUGUAGAGAAAGUUGCCGUACACGUUUGAUGUUUGCCACACGUGGAAGUAGGGAUGGGAUGAGAGUGAGCUUGUUCAAAUCCUCAAGGUUAGCUUACCGUGACACGCGUCCACAACUCUCGGAAAGCUCUGCCGUGAAACUUGCGUCCAUGUUUCUAGAUUUUGCAGCUUGCUUGCCCAAGUGGCAGGAGGAGCGUGCAUCUACUACUAGUACUCUGGUUCAUCCGCGUUUUUCGAAAAUGUUGUUUUAUUUUGUGAACCGUGAAAUCUGUAUUUGUUUCUGCAUGCAUACUGGGUCCGAGAAGGGUGAAUUCGUCGUGCUUCCAAAGAAAUUGGUCGCCAAUACAGCAUCUGGAUCUUCUUCUUUUUUUCAACAACCUUGCUGUGAGCCAACUACCUUGGCAUUUCUGCUGGUUCUUCCAUUUCCUUUUUUAUUUUGUGAUGAAUGGGGGCGCGCGCUUUGGUGGUUCUACAGCUGCAAGGCCAGCGUUGUGUGUUUAGCUGGCUAG